UUUCUCACGAUCCCUUCGGGGUGACGAGUUAUUGACUGAGUGGCGGACGGGUGAGUAACGCGUGGGAAACCUGCCCUUGACAGGGGGACAGCCGAGGGAAACUUCGAUUAAUACCCCAUAACGCAGAGAGACCGCAUGGUCAUUCUGCCAAAGAAUUAUCGGUCAGGGAUGGUCCCGCGUCUGAUUAGCUGGUUGGUGAGGCAGCGGCUCACCAAGGCGACGAUCAGUAGCCGGCCUGAGAGGGUGAACGGCCACAUUGGAACUGAGACACGGUCCAGACUCCUACGGGAGGCAGCAGUGGGGAAUAUUGCACAAUGGGCGCAAGCCUGAUGCAGCAACGCCGCGUGAAGGAGGAAGGCCUUCGGGUCGUAAACUUCUGUCCAAAGGGAAGAAGAAUGACGGUACCUUUGGAGGAAGCCCCGGCUAACUACGUGCCAGCAGCCGCGGUAACACGUAGGGGGCGAGCGUUAUCCGGAAUUACUGGGCGUAAAGAGUGCGUAGGUGGCUUUGCAAGCGUAGGGUAUAAGGCGACAGCCCAACUGUCGUUGGCCCCGCGAACUGUAAGGCUUGAGUACAGGAGGGGAAGGCGGAAUUCCUAGUGUAGCGGUGAAAUGCGUAGAUAUUAGGAGGAACACCAGUGGCGAAGGCGGCUUACUGGACGAUUACUGACGCUGAGGCUCGAAAGCGUGGGGAGCAAACAGGAUUAGAUACCCUGGUAGUCCACGCCGUAAACGAUGGACAUUAGGUGUGGGGG
This 754-nucleotide ribosomal RNA is filed under the name uncultured bacterium. RNAcentral describes it as "bacterial SSU rRNA". It matches the Rfam family "Bacterial small subunit ribosomal RNA", at positions 64 to 828 of the family's 1533-position model. The record is from RNAcentral.